RNAcentral lists this ribosomal RNA (500 nucleotides) under uncultured bacterium. Its description in RNAcentral is "partial 16S ribosomal RNA". It matches the Rfam family "Bacterial small subunit ribosomal RNA", at positions 355 to 842 of the family's 1533-position model. The record is from RNAcentral.
UGGGGAAUAUUGCACAAUGGGCGCAAGCCUGAUGCAGCCAUGCCGCGUGUGUGAAGAAGGCCUUCGGGUUGUAAAGCACUUUCAGCGAGGAGGAAGGUGGUGAACUUAAUACGUUCAUCAAUUGACGUUACUCGCAGAAGAAGCACCGGCUAACUCCGUGCCAGCAGCCGCGGUAAUACGGAGGGUGCAAGCGUUAAUCGGAAUUACUGGGCGUAAAGCGCACGCAGGCGGUUUGUUAAGUCAGAUGUGAAAUCCCCGGGCUCAACCUGGGAACUGCAUUUGAAACUGGCAAGCUAGAGUCUCGUAGAGGGGGGUAGAAUUCCAGGUGUAGCGGUGAAAUGCGUAGAGAUCUGGAGGAAUACCGGUGGCGAAAGGCGGCCCCCUGGACGAAGACUGACGCUCAGGUGCGAAAAGCGUGGGGAGCAAAACAGGAUUAGAUACCCUGGUAGUCCACGCUGUAAAACGAUGUCGAUUUUGGAGGUUGUGCCCUUGAGGCGUGG